Miniopterus natalensis is the source of this 1225-nucleotide non-coding RNA. Lineage: Eukaryota; Metazoa; Chordata; Mammalia; Chiroptera; Miniopteridae. The record is from RefSeq and is a predicted model, not a curated record.
GAGCCGGGCUCCCGCGCGCAGAGCGGGGCUGGCCGCCUCUCCCCCGAGGCCGAGUGAGUUUCAAACGGCAAAGUGCGAACAGGGCCGCUGCAGACCCACAGGCUGCAGGCGCCCGGCGCCCGCGAGGCUCCGCGUUCCCGGGCGCGAGGUCCGCCUCGGGGAGCUCCCAAACAAUGCGAGGCGGAAUAAACUGCAAAAGAACCCGAGCUCUCAGUGGGAUUUAAGGAACUCCAGAGAGACUUGUGUGCUUCAGAGACGCUUAAGUACCCCAGUCUCACAACAUUUCAGAUCCACAGAGCUAUCAGCAGGCAGUCACUCCUAGCCAGGAAGUCUCUAACAGCACUGAGACUCUUCAGAGGUUGAUGCUUUUGGCCAAGAUCGUGGAGGAGGAAGACCCAGGGCUCCACCUGAGCGCGUCCCCUGGGCCUUCAGAAGCACCAGGGUGACUGAGGUUUCUGCUGUCUGGAGACUAUGGUCCAUAGGAGCGAAGGCACAGUUCGUCCAUUCUGGCAAAUCCUUCCCUCUGACCCCCUGACCGUUACCUUCCCAGGUGUCCUCAUUUUCUGCCAGGUCAAGCCUGCUGGGGGCAAAGCUCCUACUUCAUGAUUACCUUCUCUUCAUUUUAAAACAAAUGUCCUUUCCCUUAUUGCAACUAGUUGAAAGCAGAAAAGUGAUGUUAUACUAAGACUAAUUCACGUGGAGUUGAGAAGGACUGAUACCAUUCUGGAGGAUACCACUUCAAGGGGUUUGCUCAGACUUUAAGGAUAGGCACUUUCUUUAAGCAUUUCAUUUUUUUGAGCAUAACAUGUUCUGUCCCUUCAUGUCAUACCUUAGAUUUCAAUUUUAGAUUUAAAAUAUAUCAUUUAGAAUGUAUUAUCACUAUAAUAUUAAGGAAGAAAUCUUUAUUGAUAUCAUUCUAAGGACUGUGAUAGAUAAAGAAGACCUCUCCAAACCCCCAGAUCCUACCAUACUGGAAACUGAUUACUCAGAUUAUUCUCUCAGUAUUUCUAUAUCGAAACCAAUACCACGGACUGAAAGCUCUCCUGAGAUAUCUUGGAAGAAUGAAUAGAGGUCCAGUGUUGGAGGGCAUUUCUAUAGAGUAAAAUGAAUGAGUACAUCAUUAAUUCCCACAUACACAUUCUCUUCUCUGGUUGUGGAAAGUUUGUCAAAAGUUUCUACCAUUUGAUCUUUUAUCUGCAAAAUGUAUAUGGAAGUAGUACAAUGA